RNAcentral lists this ribosomal RNA (281 nucleotides) under uncultured bacterium. RNAcentral's name for it is "partial 16S ribosomal RNA". It matches the Rfam family "Bacterial small subunit ribosomal RNA", at positions 513 to 793 of the family's 1533-position model. The record is from RNAcentral.
AGCCGCGGUAAUACGUAGGUGGCAAGCGUUAUCCGGAUUUAUUGGGCGUAAAGAGAGUGCAGGCGGUUUUCUAAGUCUGAUGUGAAAGCCUUCGGCUUAACCGGAGAAGUGCAUCGGAAACUGGAUAACUUGAGUGCAGAAGAGGGUAGUGGAACUCCAUGUGUAGCGGUGGAAUGCGUAGAUAUAUGGAAGAACACCAGUGGCGAAGGCGGCUACCUGGUCUGCAACUGACGCUGAGACUCGAAAGCAUGGGUAGCGAACAGGAUUAGAUACCCUGGUAG